AAAGUCGUAACAAGGUCUCCGUUGGUGAACCAGCGGAGGGAUCAUUACCGAGUUUACAACUCCCAAACCCCUGUGAACAUACCUUAUCGUUGCCUCGGCGGGAUCGCCCCGGCGCCCUCGGGCCCGGACCCAGGCGCCCGCCGCAGGACCCCCAAACUCUUGUUUUUUUGAGAAUCUUCUGAGUAAACAAGCAAAUAAAUUAAAACUUUCAACAACGGAUCUCUUGGUUCUG
RNAcentral lists this unclassified non-coding RNA (232 nucleotides) under Ascomycota sp. RNAcentral's name for it is "partial contains small subunit ribosomal RNA, internal transcribed spacer 1, and 5.8S ribosomal RNA". The stretch from base 1 to 47 matches the Rfam family "Eukaryotic small subunit ribosomal RNA", at positions 1785 to 1831 of the family's 1831-position model. Lineage: Eukaryota; Fungi; Ascomycota. The record is from RNAcentral.